This 963-nucleotide ribosomal RNA is filed under the name Triticum aestivum (bread wheat). RNAcentral describes it as "partial small subunit ribosomal RNA". The record is from RNAcentral. Lineage: Eukaryota; Viridiplantae; Streptophyta; Magnoliopsida; Poales; Poaceae.
AUGAUUAUUAGCAUCAAAUCCGUUUUUGAUACGGGGUGGAAGGGGAUCCUGGCAUGCUAUAUUUGUGGUACAGAGAGAGGUCAUCCCUCGCCUUUGUUCUUGCCAGUGCAAUUUCGUCUGCUUUCUGUUCUUUCUACCAUCAGCCGUGAUCGAGGGAAGUGUGCUAUGGCGGGUCAUGGAGGGAGUGUGAGCAAUGUUUUGGGGAAAACACCUGCGAGUGGAGAGGGAUCGAGGGUGAUGACGGAUGCCACGGCUACUGAAUCCUCUCUCCACCAGCUGGGGAUGAAGGUGGCCACUGCCCCUUCCAUGACCCCUGAGAGUAAGGGGAAGUCGAUGCCGAGGCGCCCCCGUGGCGAUGGCUCGGCUCUGAUUAUCGACAUGGAGGCCGCGCGGAAGGCUAUCGGUGGAUCACGGGUGGUGGGGCGGCUUCUUUCGCCCUUCCAAGUGAACCCGCAGGUCAUCGUCGAUGAGCUUCGGGCUUGUUCAGCAUGGAGGCUGCACGGAACGGUCACAGUUCAAGAUGUGGCCAGCGAGGACGGGAGGUUCGUCCUGAACUUUUCCGCCGAGGAGGACCGGCGGUUCAUUUUGAAGGCCCAGCCAUGGCACCAUAAGCGUGAUGGAGUCAUCUUCGCCGAGUUCGACGGCAAGGGAAACCCAGCAGAGGUUGACCUUGGCGUAAUGCCAAUAUGGGUGCAGGUUCGUGAUCUAGAUUUUGAACUCAAAACUGAGCGCAUGGGCUGGACUUUAGGAGAACAAAUUGGGGAUGUGAUUGCUGUUUCCCAUAGAGAUCACUUAAUUGUAGAGAAAUAUCUGCGUAUAAGGGUGGAAAUCCCUCUGCAUGAACCUCUUAAGACAAGAGUAGAAUUCACUCCUUUGGGUAGUUCUGAGAGUGUUAAGUAUGAUGUUAGAUAUGAGAAACUUCCUUUGUACUGUGAGUGCUGUGGGAUUGUAGGACAUACCUGA